ACGGGUGUAGUCUAUGGGUAGGACACAAGGCUGUGGCCCUUGAGAACCGAGUUCAAGUCUCGGCAUCCGUC
This 71-nucleotide transfer RNA is filed under the name Candidatus Pacearchaeota archaeon. Its description in RNAcentral is "tRNA-His". It matches the Rfam family "tRNA". From Rfam's summary of the family: Transfer RNA (tRNA) molecules are approximately 80 nucleotides in length. The record is from RNAcentral. Lineage: Archaea; Nanobdellati.